Molecule: ribosomal RNA, 486 nt
Filed under: uncultured bacterium
Lineage: Bacteria
Description: partial 16S ribosomal RNA
Rfam family: Bacterial small subunit ribosomal RNA
Source: RNAcentral
AUUGAACGCUGGCGGCAUGCCUUGCACAUGCAAGUCGAGCGGCAGCACGGGUGCUUGCACCUGGUGGCGAGUGGCGAACGGGUGAGUAAUACAUCGGAACAUGUCCUGUAGUGGGGGAUAGCCCGGCGAAAGCCGGAUUAAUACCGCAUACGAUCUACGGAUGAAAGCGGGGGACCUUCGGGCCUCGCGCUAUAGGGUUGGCCGAUGGCUGAUUAGCUAGUUGGGGGGGUAAAGGCCUACCAAGGCGACGAUCAGUAGCUGGUCUGAGAGGACGACCAGCCACACUGGGACUGAGACACGGCCCAGACUCCUACGGGAGGCAGCAGUGGGGAAUUUUGGACAAUGGGCGAAAGCCUGAUCCAGCAAUGCCGCGUGUGUGAAGAAGGCCUUCGGGUUGUAAAGCACUUUUGUCCGGAAAGAAAUCCUUGGCCCUAAUACGGUCGGGGGAUGACGGUACCGGAAGAAUAAGCACCGGCUAACUACGUG